AAUAUCUCUUUCCAUCUCUCUCGAAUUACUUCCGCAUUUUUCUUCGAGAUGCUUCUUCUCACCUUCCAGUCUCUUCCAUCCCCCGCCUCCCUGUAAAAUUUCUUGUUAUGCUGCCUCUCUUUUCAUCCUCUCGUUUCUCUUUCUUUCCAUUCUCUCUCGAAUCACUCCUCCCAUUUCUUCGUCGGGAGAGAAUGAAUGUGAUAUCCAUUCCUUCUCUCUACUCCCUCUUCGAAGAAACCACAAUCUUCUUCUCCAUCUCGAUGUGCUAUCCAUUCCUUCCUCUCUCUCCUCCGCCUUUCGCGUUGACUGCUCUUAUAACUUGACCCAGGACGAGCUCUGCAUCAACAUAUCACUCUGUGACGCCGACGCCUUAAUCGUCAGGAGUGGCACAAAAGUAACUCGGGAAGUGUUCGAAUCGUCUGGUGGCUGCCUUAAGGUAAUAGAGCCAAUAAUAUUUAUAUUAGAAAACAACAACAGAGAAAAAAGACAAGAACAUAUCUAGACCAGAAGGAUCAAUCCUCACCGGUUUCAAUGCAUUCUGGUAUUCGCACCACUUUCUUGCCAUUGUCUACGUCUACAUAUUGCUUGUUGUUCACGGCACCUUUCUCUACCUCGUCCACAAAUGGUACCUCAAGACGGCGUGGAUGUAUCUAGCUGUUCCUGUUUUGCUUUAUGCGGGAGAGAGGACCCUACGAUUCUUCCGCUCUGGCUUUUACUCUGUUCGUCUACUGAAGGUUACCAUUUAUCCAGGUAAUGUUCUCGCUUUGCAAAUGUCCAAGCCUGCCCAAUUCCAGUAUAGAAAGUGGCCAGUACAUGUUCGUCCAAUGCCCGGGUGUGUCUCCAUUUGAGUGAUAUUCAGGCACCCGUUUUCAAUUACAUCAGCUCCUGAUGAUGAUUACUUGAACAUCCACAUCCGACGGCUAGGUGACUGGACAAAAGAGAUCAAGAGGGUAUUUUCAGAAGUUUGUGAGCCACUGUUGCUGGGAGAAGUGGGCUUCUUAGAGCAGAUGAAACAACCAAGAAAAAGUAUAUAACAUAUUCUAACCUGCAUUGAAUUCAGUAUCUUCUGUGACAUUAUGGUCUUUGUGACAAGUUAGGGAUGAUUGACAUCCCCCUCUUUUUUUUUGUAUGGUCACCCUAAUCUAUAUAAACAAAAUCUAGUGCCUCCAGCCAGAACUUUUGGCUUUCUCAA
This is an RNA transcript of Nelumbo nucifera (sacred lotus), 1192 nucleotides long. It is a transcript of the gene named respiratory burst oxidase homolog protein F-like, with no coding region annotated. The record is from RefSeq and is a predicted model, not a curated record. Lineage: Eukaryota; Viridiplantae; Streptophyta; Magnoliopsida; Proteales; Nelumbonaceae.